UACGGAGGGGGCAAGCGUUGUUCGGAAUUACUGGGCGUAAAGGGCUCGUAGGCGGCCAACUAAGUCGGACGUGAAAUCCCCAGGCUCAACCUGGGAACUGCGUCCGAUACUGGAUGGCUUGAAUUCGGGAGAGGGAUGCAGAAUUCCAGGUGUAGCGGUGAAAUGCGUAGAUAUCUGGAGGAAUACCGGUGGCGAAGGCGGCAUCCUGGACCGACAUUGACGCUGAGGAGCGAAAGCCAGGGGAGCAAACGGG
RNAcentral lists this ribosomal RNA (253 nucleotides) under uncultured bacterium. Its description in RNAcentral is "partial 16S ribosomal RNA". It matches the Rfam family "Bacterial small subunit ribosomal RNA", at positions 524 to 776 of the family's 1533-position model. The record is from RNAcentral.